CAGGUAGGAUUACCCGCUGACU
RNAcentral lists this ribosomal RNA (22 nucleotides) under Thaxterogaster sp. H2198. RNAcentral describes it as "partial 28S ribosomal RNA". Lineage: Eukaryota; Fungi; Basidiomycota; Agaricomycetes; Agaricales; Cortinariaceae. The record is from RNAcentral.